RNAcentral lists this ribosomal RNA (246 nucleotides) under uncultured bacterium. RNAcentral describes it as "partial 16S ribosomal RNA". It matches the Rfam family "Bacterial small subunit ribosomal RNA", at positions 524 to 769 of the family's 1533-position model. The record is from RNAcentral.
UACGCAGGGUGCGAGCGUUAAUCGGAAUUACUGGGCGUAAAGCGUGCGCAGGCGGUUUUGUAAGCCAGGUGUGAAAUCCCCGGGCUCAACCUGGGAAUGGCAUUUGGGACUGCAAGGCUGGAGUGCGGCAGAGGAGACUGGAAUUCCUGGUGUAGCAGUGAAAUGCGUAGAUAUCAGGAGGAACACCGAUGGCGAAGGCAGGUCUCUGGGCUGACACUGACGCUCAUGCACGAAAGCGUGGGGAGC